RNAcentral lists this ribosomal RNA (473 nucleotides) under uncultured bacterium. Its description in RNAcentral is "bacterial SSU rRNA". It matches the Rfam family "Bacterial small subunit ribosomal RNA", at positions 328 to 793 of the family's 1533-position model. The record is from RNAcentral.
CUCGUAGACUCCUACGGGAGGCAGCAGUGGGGAAUAUUGCACAAUGGGCGCAAGCCUGAUGCAGCCAUGCCGCGUGUAUGAAGAAGGCCUUCGGGUUGUAAAGUACUUUCAGCAGUGAGGAAGGUGGGUAUGUUAAUAGCAUACUCAUUUGACGUUAGCUGCAGAAGAAGCACCGGCUAACUCCGUGCCAGCAGCCGCGGUAAUACGGAGGGUGCGAGCGUUAAUCGGAAUUACUGGGCGUAAAGCGCAUGCAGGUGGUUUGUUAAGUCAGAUGUGAAAGCCCCGGGGCUCAACCUCGGAAUUGCAUUUGAAACUGGCAAACUAGAGUACUGUAGAGGGGGUAGAAUUUCAGGUGUAGCGGUGAAAUGCGUAGAGAUCUGAAGGAAUACCGGUGGCGAAGGCGGCCCCCUGGACAGAUACUGACACUCAGAUGCGAAAGCGUGGGGAGCAAACAGGAUUAGAUACCCUGGUAG